ACGGUUUCUGCGUCGCAGCUAACGCAUUAAGCGCCCCGCCUGGGGAGUACGGUCGCAAGACUAAAACUCAAAGGAAUUGACGGGGGCCCGCACAAGCGGCGGAGCAUGUUGCUUAAUUCGACGCAACGCGAAGAACCUUACCAAGGCUUGACAUAUACGAGAACGGGCCAGAAAUGGUCAACUCUUUGGACACUCGUAAACAGGUGGUGCAUGGUUGUCGUCAGCUCGUGUCGUGAGAUGUUGGGUUAAGUCCCGCAACGAGCGCAACCCUCGUUCUAUGUUGCCAGCACGUAAUGGUGGGAACUCAUGGGAUACUGCCGGGGUCAACUCGGAGGAAGGUGGGGAUGACGUGCGAGAGUACGUCC
RNAcentral lists this unclassified non-coding RNA (365 nucleotides) under uncultured Microbacteriaceae bacterium. Its description in RNAcentral is "contains 16S-23S intergenic spacer region". It matches the Rfam family "Bacterial small subunit ribosomal RNA", at positions 834 to 1200 of the family's 1533-position model. The record is from RNAcentral. Lineage: Bacteria; Bacillati; Actinomycetota; Actinomycetes; Micrococcales; Microbacteriaceae.